Molecule: ribosomal RNA, 455 nt
Filed under: uncultured bacterium
Lineage: Bacteria
Description: bacterial SSU rRNA
Rfam family: Bacterial small subunit ribosomal RNA
Source: RNAcentral
UACGGAAGGCAGCAGUGGGGAAUAUUGCACAAUGGGCGAAAGCCUGAUGCAGCUAUGCCGCGUGUAUGAAGAAGGCCUUAGGGUUGUAAAGUACUUUCAUCGGGGAGGAAAAAACAAAACUAAUAAUUUUAUUUCUUGACGUUACCCGAAAAAGAAGCACCGGCUAACUCCGUGCCAGCAGCCGCGGUAAUACGGGGGUGCUAGCGUUAAUCAGAAUUACUGGGCGUAAAGAGCACGUAGGUGGUUUUUUAAGUCAGAUGUGAAAUCCCUGGGCUUAACCUAGGAACUGCAUUUUGAAACUGAAAUACUAGAGUAUCGUAGAGGGAGGUAGAAUUCUAGGUGUAGCGGUGAAAUGCGUAGAUAUCUGGAGGAAUACCUGUGGCGAAAGCGGCCUCCUAAACGAAUACUGACACUGAGGGUGCGAAAGCGUGGGGAGCAAACAGGGAUUAGAUACC